RNAcentral lists this long non-coding RNA (1776 nucleotides) under Struthio camelus australis. Its description in RNAcentral is "lncRNA (ENSSCUG00000018290.1)". Lineage: Eukaryota; Metazoa; Chordata; Aves; Struthioniformes; Struthionidae. The record is from RNAcentral.
AGAGUCUCCAAUGUCAUAAAAUUAAGACUGUGAGAAAUUAAAUCACAAAUGCGUAGUUUACCAGAGCACCCAAAUUAAUGUCCAGCCUUACAGUUUUGCCUGUGCAGGUGGACACUGGCCCCUCUAUGUCCCCUCGGUGAGGCCAGGAGGGCUUUGCGGGACUCCGGCUGUCCGUUGGCACACAGCCUGCUACUGAACUGCGGCUUCGAUUUGUUUCUGGGUAGGAAGCUACUGGGUAGCACCUGGAGACGGCUUCAUCCCUGUGGGGUUGCGUAUAUCUCUCCUUUCCAAUCUGCCUUGCUGCAUCUCGAGAAGGGUGAGAAGCCCCCACGCUGUGGCACGAGACUCAGAGACCCUGGGCUGGGCCAGCUCAGCCUCCACCCCGCCUGGUGUCCCUCGUGUCCCAUCCCAAACAUGGGCCCACAGGGGGCACCUGCGACAGCCUGCAAUAACAGCGCGGGAGGCUUGACAGCUAUUGUGGAAAAGAAAUGUUGCUGGCACUGCCACUCCGUGUGCUAUCAGUUUGACUUCAUGCAUCCAAGGAUUAUGAUUUUUGAAACCACAGAUGUCUGCGGCUUGGCUAAUAACAGACAGGCUUGUCGGCUACCCUGUGUCGAGGAUAACUGCAUCUCCCUGGGAAGCAGCGACUGAAGAGCCAGAGUUGCAUCCUCACACUGUGAGAUUUCUAAUUAACUGCAGCACCCAAAGCAGGCCAGCCUGAAAUCAAUAUAAUAAGCCGCUAUCAAUGGGAAAAAUCCUCAAACCCGCUAGUAAUUUAGAAACAGAAACAAUGUGGGAGUAUUGGAAAACUGUAUGUUAUCAUCUUUCAGAGGCUAUUGAAUAGUUUUGCAGGAUUUUGAAUGGAAUAAUGCAGUUUUAUAGAACUCAACUAUUGGGCUUCUCCCAUCACACGGUUAUACUGAAUCACGUAAGGAAUUGUGCUGUGCUAUAGAUAAAAGUGCCUGAUGUGCAUAACAUAUUGUAAUGUGAAGAAUCUGAUACAAUAUUGCAAUACCAUGUUAGAUUUUUGUCAGCUUUUCAUUAGCGUUCAGUGAACUGCCCAAGGUCUCACACCAAGGCCCAGUGCUCUGCUGUGCUACUGCGGCUGUGUUCCUGCCUGCUGCCCUGCGCUAAUGCCCAGGUGUGCCUCGUUCAGUAACGAGCCUCCACCUCCCUCAUGCCCUCAUACCACAGAGAAGGCUAGGUGGGCUUCUCAUCUCCUCUUUGGCAAUCCCAUGCUCCUGUCUGCCGUGAGGGCCUGGUAAAGCAAAAGACUGUCAGGAAUCCAAGCUGCCACCUGCAAGUCUGACCAUUUGGUUAAAGGGCCCCAAAUAUUCAGAUGCUGAGGUGGAGUGAAAAAAGUCACAAGUCGUAGAGCUGCUAAUGCUCUGGAUCAUUGUCUGUUGAACCCUGGUUCACGGCUGAGAAGGCAACACCUGCACUUCUGGUUAUGUGUUGUUCUUAUCCUCAGACCUGCGUAGCAGUUGCCAAACUGGAGCUCUCAGGUAAUGUUAGUUGUAAAAAAUAUAGGUUCUUCCUUCAAGGGAAGUGAAAGUGUUUGAUACAUUUAAAUGGAGAAUGAUUGGCGAAAGUAGCCAUGGACAAGGCUCAGUCCUCUCUUCUGUUAUAUUAUUUGUUCAAUUAUUUGAGAGUGCAGUUAGAUACUUCCAGUGAGCACAAGUGCAGCCUCUUGGGUACCUUCUGUGCUAGGCUUGAAUGCCACUGGCUCUCUUUUGCUGCCUGGCUACAAUAAACUCUAGAUAAAUGUGUUUAACA